UCCUGUUGUGGGAACACUUGUGCAUCCGUGCCCGGCGCAGCUCGGAAAUAGAAUCAGCCUAGAUGUCUACGGACUGACGCCUGGAAAAUGGAGACGCGGUCUGCGGACACAAUGGGCUUUUGUUCAGUUACGUCACCAACCCCCGCCUCCCCAACACACAUGAAGCUCAGAGAACAUCAGAGAAGAGGUAACAGAAAGAAGCUAGGAGCUGGAGGAUCCGCAGGGGUGCUGCGAACAGCGGUCUCCGGAAGGGACGCGGCCUUGGUGGUCAUGGACUCACAGCAGCUCUGUUGACCUGAGCAGAUCAAGCUUGCCAACAUUCCAGCAUGGACUAGGGAGAGCCAACAUCAAGCUGUCGGAUUCUGGAUUUCAGACUGAUGCACACUUUCUACUAACAUACGCUCCUCUCGCUCAGUGAGGUCCACCCAGAGCCGCUCCCUUCUGGAAUGGUAGCCGGAGAGGCUAGGCAAGGCCUCCUCUUGUCCUCUGGCCCAGGCCAACGCCAGCAACAGUGGCCUGUAGACAAGCCAGGGGUAAAUAUUG
This is a non-coding RNA of Myodes glareolus (Bank vole), 543 nucleotides long. The record is from RefSeq and is a predicted model, not a curated record. NCBI's taxonomy places the organism in Eukaryota, Metazoa, Chordata, Mammalia, Rodentia, Cricetidae.